GCCCGCGUGGUGGAAUGGUAGACACAGAGGACUUAAAAUCCUCAGGCGCAAGCCGUGCCGGUUCGAGUCCGGCCGCGGGUA
Molecule: transfer RNA, 81 nt
Filed under: Brevirhabdus pacifica
Lineage: Bacteria; Pseudomonadati; Pseudomonadota; Alphaproteobacteria; Rhodobacterales; Paracoccaceae
Also listed under: 1 other name
Description: tRNA-Leu
Rfam family: tRNA
About the family: Transfer RNA (tRNA) molecules are approximately 80 nucleotides in length. Their secondary structure includes four short double-helical elements and three loops (D, anti-codon, and T loops).
Source: RNAcentral